GAUGAACGCUGGCGGCGUGCCUAACACAUGCAAGUCGAACGUGAGGCAGAGGUACUUCGGUAAAUCUGCUGAAAGUGGCGAACGGGUGAGUAACACGUAGGUAACCUGCCUUAGAGUGGGGGAUAACCAUUGGAAACGAUGGCUAAUACCGCAUAGGCUUGUUGGUAUGGGAAUAUCGACAGGUAAAGUUUCGGCGCUCUAAGAGGGGCCUGCGGUCGAUUAGUUAGUUGGUGGGGUAAAGGCCUACCAAGGCGACGAUCGAUAGCUGGUCUGAGAGGACGAUCAGUCACACGGGAACUGAGACACGGUCCCGACUCCUACGGGGGGCAGCAGUGAGGAAUAUUGGGCAAUGGGGGGAACCCUGACCCAGCAACGCCGCGUGGAGGAAGAAGGCUCUUGGGUCGUAAACUCCUUUUGACGGGGAAGAGG
This 429-nucleotide ribosomal RNA is filed under the name uncultured bacterium. RNAcentral's name for it is "bacterial SSU rRNA". It matches the Rfam family "Bacterial small subunit ribosomal RNA", at positions 28 to 450 of the family's 1533-position model. The record is from RNAcentral.